CCCCCGCCGGCCGGGCGAGGGGAUGUCUUGGCCCUUGCUGCACCUGCCCAAGCCGCGACUCAUACGCGCAAUCAGCUGGGGCCCCUACGUCCCGAGGCCUGGCACGGGGCCCGUCGCACAAUCAGAGCUUGUUUGUGGGCGGAGGAGCCACGCCGGGUGCGGCAGCCCCGCGCCAACCCACUGAUCCCAUAAAAUAUUAUUUGUGUUUUAAAAUUCCAGUAAUUGGCUAUGCAGCCGCUUUUUCCGAGCCCCGUGCCAAGCGCAGUAAAAUCGCAGUCCGGCCGGAGUUAUUUUCAUCAUGCAAAUUCCCAUUUCUGUAAACAGGGUUAAAGCCCUGGAAGGAGCCGGGGUGAACGUGUCCUCAGACUGGGAGGUGUCAGACUCCGUCCUCUCACUGCCCCGGAACUGUAUCCGGAGAAUCCCCCCAACCGCUCUCCCGGGAAGACCACCGCCAGCGCCCAGCUCGCAACCCCACUUCCGGCCUCUGCCUGGAGAGGAAGAUGAGGGAGUCGCCGCCGGGACCUUGGGUAUGGGACAUGGGUGCCGCUGCCCUGCUCUGCCCAGAUGGCCUCUGGGCUCAGGGAGCCAGAGCCGGGUCCACCCACAGGGAUUGAGCAGAGCCCGGAUUCUGAAACUGGAAGGGGAGGUAGGUAAAUAUUAUCUCUUAUCCUGUAGGAAGUUACUGUGCUGUUGCCAUGAUGCAACUAGGGCCUACUACUCGCCAGGCACUGCUUUCUCUCAUUUGAUUCCUCAAGCCUAG
This 760-nucleotide long non-coding RNA is filed under the name Fukomys damarensis (Damara mole-rat). RNAcentral's name for it is "lncRNA (ENSFDAG00000021650.1)". Lineage: Eukaryota; Metazoa; Chordata; Mammalia; Rodentia; Bathyergidae. The record is from RNAcentral.